CCGGAACGUAAAAAAUAAGCCGAUUUCUAAUCAAUACACGUCAAGCGUUUUCUCGUGAUUCAUUACGUACGCAUUUCUAUUAGAUUGCCCGUAUUUUUUCGUGUUUCUAAGUCGAUGGGGGUGAGGGAAAGGGAAACCCCUUUUCCGUCCAAUCUCCUGCGCACGCCGCUGUACCUGACUCGGGCCAAUAUCGUUGAGUCAUGUUUUAGCGUGAGCUGUACGGAGCUGUGGUCUACGCCU
Molecule: non-coding RNA, 240 nt
Organism: Cinara cedri
Lineage: Eukaryota; Metazoa; Arthropoda; Insecta; Hemiptera; Aphididae
Source: the annotation of a GenBank genome assembly